ACUCACUGCCUCUCGUUCCUCUGCUUACGACAUUUUCAUGAAUAAGCCAGAAGAUAGUCAGCACAGAAGCCUCCCUACAACCUGGAAAAAGAAAUGAGCUUUCACUUUGAAUAUCACACAGACAUACUGAGGGAUGGUGUCAGACAAGUGCUGAAGGCACUGUUUGUUUCCUGCCCCAAUGCUGAGCUCAGACCACAACCGAAUCCAGAGCCUGCCAUUUAUCACUUGACCACGUACAUCUGAACCUGCAAGACCCUCGCACAGCCUUCACUGAGGUGUGAAAACUGACAGUUUCCUUCUCCUGCCACUGGUUCUGCAGUAAUUAAAGCUUUUUUGCUAUC
Molecule: long non-coding RNA, 341 nt
Filed under: Homo sapiens (human)
Lineage: Eukaryota; Metazoa; Chordata; Mammalia; Primates; Hominidae
Description: HSALNT0316374
Source: RNAcentral